GAUGAACGCUAGCUACAGGCUUAACACAUGCAAGUCGCGGGGCAGCAUGGGGGUUGCUUGCAAUCCCCGAUGGCGACCGGCGCACGGGUGAGUAACGCGUAUCCAACCUGCCCUUCACCACGGGAUAACCCGGCGAAAGUCGGACUAAUACCGUAUGUUGUCCAUUGACGGCAUCCGAUUUGGACGAAAGGUUUGGCGGUGAAGGAUGGGGAUGCGUCCGAUUAGCUGGACGGCGGGGUGACGGCCCACCGGGGCGACGAUCGGUAGGGGUUCUGAGAGGAAGGGCCCCCACACGGGAACCGGGACACGGGCCAGACACCUACGGGAGGCAGCAGUGAGGAAGAUUGGUCAAUGGGCGUAAGCCUGAACCAGCCAAGUAGCGUGCAGGAUGACGGCCCUAUGGGUUGUAAACUGCUUUUAUGCGGGGAUAAAGUGGCCCACGUGUGGGUUUUUGCAGGUACCGCAUGAAUAAGGACCGGCUAAUUCCGUG
Molecule: ribosomal RNA, 490 nt
Filed under: uncultured bacterium
Lineage: Bacteria
Description: partial 16S ribosomal RNA
Rfam family: Bacterial small subunit ribosomal RNA
Source: RNAcentral